Molecule: ribosomal RNA, 373 nt
Filed under: uncultured Rhodocyclaceae bacterium
Lineage: Bacteria; Pseudomonadati; Pseudomonadota; Betaproteobacteria; Rhodocyclales; Rhodocyclaceae
Description: bacterial SSU rRNA
Rfam family: Bacterial small subunit ribosomal RNA
Source: RNAcentral
GGGAGUGCCUUCGGGGAACCUGGAGACAGGUGCUGCAUGGCUGUCGUCAGCUCGUGUCGUGAGAUGUAGGGUUAAGUCCCGCAACGAGCGCAACCCUUGUCAUUAGUUGCCAUCAUUUGGUUGGGCACUCUAAUGAGACUGCCGGUGACAAACCGGAGGAAGGUGGGGAUGACGUCAAGUCCUCAUGGCCCUUAUGGGUAGGGCUUCACACGUCAUACAAUGGUCGGUACAGAGGGUUGCCAACCCGCGAGGGGGGAGCUAAUCCCACAAAGCCGAUCGUAGUCCGGAUCGCAGUCUGCAACUCGACUGCGUGAAGUCGGAAUCGCUAGUAAUCGCAAAUCAGCAUGCUGCGGUGAAUACGUUCCCGGGUCUU